CCUACGGGUGGCAGCAGUGAGGAAUAUUGGGCAAUGGGCGAGAGCCCGAACCAGCCAAGUCGCGUGAGGGAGUACUGCCCUAUGGUUUGUAAACCUCUUUUGUCGGGGAGCAAAAGCCGGACGUGUCCGGCUGUGAGAGUACCCGAAGAAAAAGCAUCGGCUAACUCCGUGCCAGCAGCCGCGGUAAUACGGAGGAUGCGAGCGUUAUCCGGAUUUAUUGGGUUGAAAGGGUACGCAGGCGGGUUUUUAAGUCAGCGGUCAAAUCGUGGGGCUAAACCCCAUCCAGCCGUUGAAACUGGGGAUCUAGAGUGUGCGAGAGGUAGGCGGAAUGCGUGGUGUAGCGGUGAAAUGCAUAGAUAUCAGGCAGAACCCCGAUUGCAAAGGCAGCAUACUGGUGCACAACUGACGCUCAGGCACGAAAGCGUGGGGAUCGAACAGGAUUAGAUACCCGUGUAGUC
RNAcentral lists this ribosomal RNA (458 nucleotides) under uncultured bacterium. RNAcentral describes it as "partial 16S ribosomal RNA". It matches the Rfam family "Bacterial small subunit ribosomal RNA", at positions 338 to 795 of the family's 1533-position model. The record is from RNAcentral.